Molecule: ribosomal RNA, 376 nt
Filed under: uncultured Gammaproteobacteria bacterium
Lineage: Bacteria; Pseudomonadati; Pseudomonadota; Gammaproteobacteria
Description: bacterial SSU rRNA
Rfam family: Bacterial small subunit ribosomal RNA
Source: RNAcentral
UAAUACGGAUGGUGCGAGCGUUAAUCGGAAUUACUGGGCGUAAAGCGCGCGUAGGCUGUUUUAUAAGUCGGAUGUGAAAUCCCCGGGCUCAACCUGGGAACUGCAUCCGAAACUAUUUAACUAGAGUAUGGGAGAGGUAAGUAGAAUUUCCGGUGUAGCGGUGAAAUGCGUAGAUAUCGGAAGGAAUACCAGUGGCGAAGGCGGCUUACUGGACCAAUACUGACGCUGAGGUGCGAAAGCGUGGGGAGCGAACAGGAUUAGAUACCCUGGUAGUCCACGCCGUAAACGAUGAGAACUAGACGUUGGGAGGGUGAGCCUUUCAGUGUCGCAGCUAACGCAUUAAGUUCUCCGCCUGGGGAGUACGACCGCAAGGCUG